RNAcentral lists this transfer RNA (77 nucleotides) under SAR92 bacterium BACL16 MAG-120322-bin99. RNAcentral's name for it is "tRNA-Arg". It matches the Rfam family "tRNA". Rfam says of the family: Transfer RNA (tRNA) molecules are approximately 80 nucleotides in length. Their secondary structure includes four short double-helical elements and three loops (D, anti-codon, and T loops). The record is from RNAcentral. Lineage: Bacteria; Pseudomonadati; Pseudomonadota; Gammaproteobacteria; Cellvibrionales; Porticoccaceae. RNAcentral also lists the same sequence under 3 other names.
GCACCCGUAGCUCAGCUGGAUAGAGUAGUUGGCUUCGAACCAAUUGGUCGGGGGUUCGAAUCCCUCCGGGUGCACCA